Molecule: long non-coding RNA, 950 nt
Filed under: Chelonoidis abingdonii (Abingdon island giant tortoise)
Lineage: Eukaryota; Metazoa; Chordata; Testudines; Testudinidae
Description: lncRNA (ENSCABG00000011524.1)
Source: RNAcentral
GCAGGGGUCAGCCUAACUAAAUUGCAGUUUUGAGCUACAACAGAUCUUGAAAGCACCAACGCCCUAGUUGGGGCUGCCUUUCCUGCUUGUUUGUGCAAGUAAGAAAGUGCUUGAUACUUGGAGCUCUUCCCCACACUCCUGUGGAUCCGCUUCCACUUAUCCCUUCUCCCUUCUGUCCCCUCCUGUUUGGAAGAGACAUCUGCUAUUUUAAUGAAAGCAUGGAACGAAGCACUUGCCGUAAGCCCGGCGGAGCUCGACCAGAUGUUUCACAGUGCAAGAAGCUAGGUAACGGAACAAAGGUUACAAAAGAGACCUGCAGAGGUGAAAGUGAGGCUCCACAGGGCAAGCUCACAAAUUUGGAUAGAACCAAAAUGGAACAAUUGGUGAACUCUGUGAAAAACAAUCUUAGUGAAAUGAAUGAUCAAUUAGAAGAUAUGCUGAAACACCUACAGUUUUUGAAAGAAAGAUUCAGAGGUGAAAGUGAGGCUCCACAGGGCAAGCUCACAAAUUUGGAUAGAACCAAAAUGGAACAAUUGGUGAACUCUGUGAAAAACAAUCUUAGAAGUGAAAUGAGCACUCUAUAUGAAGAUAUGGGGAAAUACCUACAGUUUUUGAAAGAAAGACUCAGGGAGCUUCCCAAAAUGGUCAGCGCAGAAGAGUUUCAUCAGAAGGAAGAAGAAUGUGAAAAGCUGAAGGAACAGAAGAGAGUCUUGGAGCAAAAAUUGGACCUUGUCUUGGCCAAUGCAAUGAGAAGCCAUAAGUUCUCUGAGAACUUGAAUGACCCCUGUCGAUUAUCAGCUGUGUUGGAGAUGUACGACAGGCUCAGGAUACAUGAAUGGGAGAAAGCCAAAUGUGCUGCAAGUGUCUCCACCUUUCCAAUGACGUAUGAAAAAGGUAGCACGAUAAUUAAGGCUGUGUUUUCCAUAUGUGAAGAAGAGCUGUCACAAAGA